This 376-nucleotide unclassified non-coding RNA is filed under the name soil metagenome. Its description in RNAcentral is "partial contains 5.8S ribosomal RNA, internal transcribed spacer 2, and large subunit ribosomal RNA". The stretch from base 1 to 120 matches the Rfam family "5.8S ribosomal RNA", at positions 35 to 154 of the family's 154-position model. The record is from RNAcentral.
GAUGAAGAACGCAGCGAAAUGCGAUAAGUAAUGUGAAUUGCAGAAUUCAGUGAAUCAUCGAAUCUUUGAACGCAUCUUGCGCUCCUUGGUAUUCUGAGGAGCAUGCCUGUUUGAGUGUCAUUAAAUUCUCAACUACACUGACUUUGAAUUGGUGUGGCUUGGAUUUGGGGGGAAAAUUGUUGUGGGCUUUUUGUAUAGUCUGCUCCCCUGAAAUUGAUUAGCGGUACCUUUGUGGAACUGUCUACAGGUGUGAUAAUUAUCUACAUCUUAGACAUCUGCUGGAAUGCUGCUCUCUAAACCUUACUUGUAUUGACAAUCUUGACCUCAAAUCAGGUAGGACUACCCGCUGAAUUUAAGCAUAUCAAUAAGCGGAGGA